AGAUUGAACGCUGGCGGCAUGCCUAACACAUGCAAGUCGAACGGGAGUAGCAAUACUCUAGUGACGGACGGGUGAGGAAUACGUAGGAAUUUGCCCUUAAGUGGGGGAUAACCCGGGGAAACCCGGAUUAAUACCGCAUGACCUCGAAAGAGCAAAGUGGGGGAUCGCAAGACCUCACGCUUUUGGAGAAGCCUACGUCGGAUUAGCUAGUUGGUGAGGUAAUGGCUCACCAAGGCGACGAUCCGUAACUGGUCUGAGAGGAUGAUCAGUCACACCGGAACUGAGACACGGUCCGGACUCCUACGGGAGCAGCAGUGGGGAAUAUUGCACAAUGGGCGCAAGCCUGAUGCAGCAACGCCGCGUGAGGGACGACGGCCUUCGGGUUG
Molecule: ribosomal RNA, 386 nt
Filed under: uncultured soil bacterium
Lineage: Bacteria
Description: bacterial SSU rRNA
Rfam family: Bacterial small subunit ribosomal RNA
Source: RNAcentral